This is a non-coding RNA of Pelobates cultripes (western spadefoot toad), 297 nucleotides long. The record is from the annotation of a GenBank genome assembly. Lineage: Eukaryota; Metazoa; Chordata; Amphibia; Anura; Pelobatidae.
CCCAAAAAACCCAUACAACUCUGUUCCGCAGAGUAGCUGUUGACAUUAUAGUUGCACAGGCACUUUGUUGACUCUAGAGAACCUCGAACCAAUCGCACAUCCCCAUGACGGCGACUUUGCAUUUGGAUGUCAUCCAUAUCAACUUUCGAUUGCCAGUUUCUGCACCUACCAUGGUGACCAGGGUAACGGGGAAAUCAGGGUUCCAUUCCUUACAGGGACCCUGAGAAACGGCUACCACAUGCAAGGAAGGCAGCAGGCGUGCAAAUGACCCACUCCCGGCGCGGGAAGGUAGUGACG